AGAAUCAACGCUGGCGGCGCGCUUAACACAUGCAAGUCGCACGAGAAAAGGAGCAAUCCUAAGUAAAGUGGCGCACGGGUGAGUAACACGUGGAUUAUCUACCUUUUAGUGGGGAAUACCUCUGGGAAACCGGAGACAAUACCGCAUAAGCCCGCAAGGGGAAAGCAGCAAUGCGCUGAAAGAGGAGUCCGCGGCCGAUUAGCUAGUUGGCGGGGUAAUGGCCCACCAAGGCGAAGAUCGGUA
This 243-nucleotide ribosomal RNA is filed under the name uncultured bacterium. RNAcentral's name for it is "partial small subunit ribosomal RNA". It matches the Rfam family "Bacterial small subunit ribosomal RNA", at positions 26 to 285 of the family's 1533-position model. The record is from RNAcentral.